This 286-nucleotide ribosomal RNA is filed under the name Acinetobacter baumannii. RNAcentral's name for it is "partial 23S ribosomal RNA". It matches the Rfam family "Bacterial large subunit ribosomal RNA", at positions 1563 to 1831 of the family's 2925-position model. Lineage: Bacteria; Pseudomonadati; Pseudomonadota; Gammaproteobacteria; Moraxellales; Moraxellaceae. The record is from RNAcentral.
GUGAUGACGAGGUACUACGGUGCUGAAGUAACAAAUGCCCUGCUUCCAGGAAAAGCCUCUAAGCAUCAGGUAACAUCAAAUCGUACCCCAAACCGACACAGGUGGUCAGGUAGAGAAUACCAAGGCGCUUGAGAGAACUCGGGUGAAGGAACUAGGCAAAAUGGUGCCGUAACUUCGGGAGAAGGCACGCUGGUGUGUAGGUGAAGUCCCUGCGGAUGGAGCUGAGACCAGUCGAAGAUACCAGCUGGCUGCAACUGUUUAUUAAAAACACAGCACUGUGCAAACA